This 521-nucleotide ribosomal RNA is filed under the name Sordaria macrospora. Its description in RNAcentral is "partial large subunit ribosomal RNA". It matches the Rfam family "Eukaryotic large subunit ribosomal RNA", at positions 76 to 609 of the family's 3401-position model. The record is from RNAcentral. Lineage: Eukaryota; Fungi; Ascomycota; Sordariomycetes; Sordariales; Sordariaceae.
UGCCCUAGUAACGGCGAGUGAAGCGGCAACAGCUCAAAUUUGAAAUCUGGCUUCGGCCCGAGUUGUAAUUUGUAGAGGAAACUUUUGGUGAGGCACCUUCUGAGUCCCUUGGAACAGGGCGCCAUAGAGGGUGAGAGCCCCGUAUAGUCGGAUGCCGAUCCAAUGUAAAGUUCCUUCGACGAGUCGAGUAGUUUGGGAAUGCUGCUCAAAAUGGGAGGUAAAUUUCUUCUAAAGCUAAAUAUAGGCCAGAGACCGAUAGCGCACAAGUAGAGUGAUCGAAAGAUGAAAAGCACUUUGAAAAGAGGGUUAAAUAGCACGUGAAAUUGUUGAAAGGGAAGCGUUUGUGACCAGACUUGCGCCGUUCCGAUCAUCCGGUGUUCUCACCGGUGCACUCGGGGCGGCUCAGGCCAGCAUCGGUUUUGGUGGGGGGAUAAAGGUCCAGGGAACGUAGCUCCUCCGGGAGUGUUAUAGCCCUGGGCGUAAUGCCCUCGCUGGGACCGAGGUUCGCGCAUCUGCAAGGA